RNAcentral lists this ribosomal RNA (421 nucleotides) under uncultured bacterium. RNAcentral's name for it is "bacterial SSU rRNA". It matches the Rfam family "Bacterial small subunit ribosomal RNA", at positions 355 to 768 of the family's 1533-position model. The record is from RNAcentral.
UGAGGAAUUUUGCGCAAUGGCCGCAAGGCUGACGCAGCAACGCCGCGUGGGUGAUGAAGGCCUUCGGGUCGUAAAGCCCUGUCAGGUGGGAAGAAAGGCCUUAAGGAGAAAGACUUGAGGUUUGACGGUACCACCCGAGGAAGCACCGGCUAACUCCGUGCCAGCAGCCGCGGUAAUACGGAGGGUGCGAGCGUUAUUCGGAAUUACUGGGCGUAAAGCGCGUGUAGGCGGGGGGACAAGUCUGAUGUGAAAGCCCUGGGCUUAACCUGGGAAGCGCAUUGGAAACUGUGUGUCUUGAGUACUGGAGAGGAAGGGGGAAUUCCCGGUGUAGAGGUGAAAUUCGUAGAGAUCGGGAGGAAUACCAGUGGCGUAGGCGCCCUUCUGGACGGUAACUGACGCUGAGACGCGAAAGCGUGGGGAG